UAGGGAAUCUUCCGCAAUGGGCGAAAGCCUGACGGAGCAACGCCGNGUGAGUGAUGAAGGCCUUCGGAUCGUAAAACUCUGUUAUUAGGGAAGAACAUAUGUGUAAGUAACUGUGCACAUCUUGACGGUACCUAAUCAGAAAGCCACGGCUAACUACGUGCCAGCAGCCGCGUAAUACGUAGGUGGCAAGCGUUAUCCGGAAUUAUUGGGCGUAAAGGGCGCGUAGGCGGUUUUUUAAGUCUGAUGUGAAAGCCCACGCUCCAACCGUGGAGGGGUCAUUGGAAACUGGAAAACUUGAGUGCAGAAAGAGGAAAGUGGAAUUCCAAUGUUGUGCCGGUGAAAUGCGCAGAGAUAUGGAGGAACACCAGUGGCGAAGGNGACUUUUCUGGCCUGUAACUGANNGCUGAUGGUGCGAAAGCGUGGGGGAUCCAAACAGGAUUAAGAUACCCUGGGUAGUCCCACGCCCGUAAACGAUUGAAGUNGCUANNUGUUUAAGGGGGUUUCCGNCCCCNUUAGUGCUGCAGCUAACGCAUUUANGCACUCCGCCUGGGGAGUACGACNGCANNNUG
Molecule: ribosomal RNA, 569 nt
Filed under: uncultured bacterium
Lineage: Bacteria
Description: partial 16S rRNA
Rfam family: Bacterial small subunit ribosomal RNA
Source: RNAcentral